AAAUUAUUACGUUUUCACGACGACCAAAGCUUGUUCGAAAUUGAGAUGGCUGUUAGGAAAUGCAUUUGGUGCAUACAAGAAAGCGUUUAAUUUUAGUACUGAUUGCCCAAGAAGGCCGGGAGUUUAUGUGUCGAACGGACUCGACAUGGAAAAGGUGAAGGAUCUUAAUUUUCCAAAGACAUUUUUUUAUGGUGAAUAUAGAUUGAAAAUCGCCCUCUAUAGCCCGGCCGGCGAAAAACUUGGUUGUAUCUAUUUUUUUUAUAGAGGUUGUACGUCCAUGGGAAGUAUAGUUUAGCUCUUACUGUUUGUGCCACGCAAUCAAAUACAAUAAUAAUUAUUACUUUUAAGAUAAUUCGGAUAUUACAUCGAUAUUAACAAUAAUAGUAAUUUCACACAAUAUUAUAUUAUAUUGAAAUAGGCUCGUGUGAAUAAUAUCAAUCGAAUUGGCGAGUAAAAUGUAUGCAAUAACAAACUGGCCGGAUUAAACACAAUAUGCAAAUAUCUAAACCACUUAAAUAUAUGACAAACAAUAACCAAAAAACAUCAAUUUUUUGCUUGAUCCGAUUUUGAGAUUUUUUCUAACACGUCAACAUUUUAAGUUUUAAAAUAGAUUUUUGGUGUUUUUACCGUGUUUAUUCCGUUCAAUUAAUUUGCCUUAAUUAUGUAAUGAAUAGAGCUUUUUACUAUAAUAUUAUUUACUGAAUAGUUUAGAAUUUGUAAUUACUUUUUUUACUCAAAAGAAUACUGGUAAAUCUUAAUUUUUAUUCUACAAGUUAAUUUGCAACUUUUGAUGCAACUAAAAAAAUUGUCUCCAUUUUUCUUCAAUUUUUCAAUAGCUGGAUGUGCUAAUGAAAAUUAGCCACCCGGUUUUAAUUCGGAGAUAAAUAAAUGUACUGAUGUAUUUUGGUUCUUGUUUCAAAAUUGUAUUUUAUAGUUUGAAUGAUAAAAAAAAAUUUAAGAAGAAAACAAUAAAACGAUACUGGAUGAUAAUAAAACAAAUUACAAUUAGUGAACACAAUACAGUGAUAUUUAGCGAUAUAAUAACAAAUAAUAUUAUUCAAAAAUACAUUAUAAGUUGGGAAUCGAUGCUCACAUCGAGAGAUUCAAACCUAAGACUUGUACUUUAUUACUCAAAACUUGAACACUCUAAAUAGAUGUUCAUAAUAAUAUUGGAAUGGUUUGAAAAUUUUAUUUCAAGAUUUAACGUGUUUAUGUUAAAAUAUACAAAAUCUGCGAAAAACACAUAAAUGGCUUAAAUAAAAUAUAUCAACUGCAACUCUCUAAUGUAAACAUUAGGUUUGAUAUGAGUUAUUUUAAAACCUUGUACUAAAAAUAAUACCUAUAGUCGAAACACGGGGUCAAAGUGAUGUAUGUUCACUAAAAAUCAUAAAAAAACGAACUAGCUGUGUAAAUAAAUAACAAUAGUGACGCUGCAAAAACCAAUUCGAUUCUGAAUUGUCGGUCGAAAUAUAAGCCUAUCCUCAAAUCGCAAGAAGAACAUAAUUUCAAAAGUCAAUCAAGUUGAUUAGUAUCUAAGAAAUUCAAUCAGCUCAACAAUUUCA
Adelges cooleyi (spruce gall adelgid) is the source of this 1562-nucleotide long non-coding RNA. RefSeq lists it as uncharacterized. The record is from RefSeq and is a predicted model, not a curated record. The transcript has 2 exons. NCBI's taxonomy places the organism in Eukaryota, Metazoa, Arthropoda, Insecta, Hemiptera, Adelgidae.